UUCAGGGGGCCAGUUUAAGGAGAAGGGAGGAAGACACAUUCUGCCGCAAGGCAGAGUCUUUUCUUCUUAACCAUUCUACACAUUCCCACAACAAAAACACAAUUCCAUGCACCUUUAUUUCCCUUUCCUUGUCGUGACCUCCAUCCAACCUAAACACAUUCAGCCAUUCCUCCAUACAAACAAACUUUCAAACACUCACC
RNAcentral lists this long non-coding RNA (200 nucleotides) under Malus domestica (apple). RNAcentral's name for it is "long non-coding RNA (MDOM_LNC005602)". The record is from RNAcentral. Lineage: Eukaryota; Viridiplantae; Streptophyta; Magnoliopsida; Rosales; Rosaceae.